GGACCCCACUGCUAUUGGGGUGGGACUAAGACAUGCUAGUCGUGCGCCUCCAAGCCACGGUGGAGGCGCGGCGCACAGCUCAGUAACACGUGGCUAACCUGCCCUUGGGACGGGGAUAACCCCGGGAAACUGGGGCUAAUCCCCGAUAGGUGAGGACGCCUGGAAUGGGUCCUUGCCGAAAGGGCGCCUACACCAUGCUUGUAGGCGCUGCCCAAGGAUGGGGCCGCGGCCGAUCAGGUAGUUGGUGAGGUAACGGCUCACCAAGCCUAUAACCGGUACGGGCCGUGGGAGCGGGAGCCCGGAGAUGGACACUGAGACAAGGGUCCAGGCCCUACGGGGNGCAGCAGUCGCGAAACCUCCGCAAUACGCGNAAGCGUGACGGGGUCACCCCGAGUGCCGCCCGCUGAGGGUGGCUUUUCCCCAGUGUAGCCAGCUGGGGGAAUAAGGG
RNAcentral lists this ribosomal RNA (448 nucleotides) under uncultured crenarchaeote. RNAcentral describes it as "bacterial SSU rRNA". It matches the Rfam family "Archaeal small subunit ribosomal RNA", at positions 19 to 441 of the family's 1478-position model. Lineage: Archaea; Thermoproteati; Thermoproteota. The record is from RNAcentral.